AAUGAACGUUGGCGGCAUGGAUUAGGCAUGCAAGUCGUGCGAGAAGGAUUUGGUGCUUGCACUAGAUCUGGAAAGCGGCGAAAGGGAGAGUAACGCGUGGUUUAUCUGCCCUGGGGUCCGGAAUAGCUGUGGGAAACCGCAGGUAAUGCCGGAUAACAUCUACGGAUCAAAGGUGUGAUUCCGCCCUAGGAGGGGACCGCGUCCUAUUAGCUUGUUGGUGGGGUAACGGCCUACCAAGGCAACGAUGGGUACCGGGCGUGAGAGCGUGACCCGGCUCACUGGGACUGAGACACUGCCCAGACACCUACGGGUGGCUGCAGUCGAGAAUCUUCGGCAAUGGACGCAAGUCUGACCGAGCGAUGCCGCGUGCGGGAUGAAGGCCUUCGGGUUGUAAACCGCUGUCAGUUGGGAGGAAGUGCCAUGGGGCUAUCCCCAUGGUUUGACCUAUCUUCAGAGGAAGGACGGGCUAAGUUCGUG
RNAcentral lists this ribosomal RNA (477 nucleotides) under uncultured bacterium. RNAcentral's name for it is "bacterial SSU rRNA". It matches the Rfam family "Bacterial small subunit ribosomal RNA", at positions 28 to 507 of the family's 1533-position model. The record is from RNAcentral.